RNAcentral lists this ribosomal RNA (405 nucleotides) under uncultured Eubacteriales bacterium. RNAcentral's name for it is "uncultured Clostridiales bacterium partial 16S ribosomal RNA". It matches the Rfam family "Bacterial small subunit ribosomal RNA", at positions 355 to 774 of the family's 1533-position model. The record is from RNAcentral. Lineage: Bacteria; Bacillati; Bacillota; Clostridia; Eubacteriales.
UGGGGGAUAUUGCGCAAUGGGGGAAACCCUGACGCAGCAACGCCGCGUGAAGGAUGAAGGUCUUCGGAUUGUAAACUUCUGUCUUUGGGGAAGAAAAAAAUGACGGUACCCAAGGAGGAAGCCACGGCUAACUACGUGCCAGCAGCCGCGGUAAUACGUAGGUGGCAAGCGUUGUCCGGAUUUACUGGGUGUAAAGGGCGUGUAGGCGGGAAGAUAGGUCAGAUGUGAAAUCUAUGGGCUUAACCCAUAAACUGCAUUUGAAACCAUUUUUCUUGAGUGUCGGAGAGGUAAGUGGAAUUCCUAGUGUAGCGGUGAAAUGCGUAGAUAUUAGGAGGAACACCAGUGGCGAAGGCGACUUACUGGACGAUAACUGACGCUGAGGCGCGAAAGCGUGGGGAGCAAACA